This 129-nucleotide ribosomal RNA is filed under the name Metschnikowia krissii. RNAcentral's name for it is "partial 26S rRNA". Lineage: Eukaryota; Fungi; Ascomycota; Pichiomycetes; Serinales; Metschnikowiaceae. The record is from RNAcentral.
GGCCAGCAUCGGGGCGAGGGGGAACAAAAAAAAGUAAGAAAUGUAACUGGUCUGGUGCGAGUAUUAUAGACUCACUNNUUCUUUCCGACCUNAUCCGGAGGCUGCGGUANUCUAGGAUGCUGGCGUAAU